RNAcentral lists this ribosomal RNA (254 nucleotides) under uncultured bacterium. RNAcentral describes it as "partial 16S ribosomal RNA". It matches the Rfam family "Bacterial small subunit ribosomal RNA", at positions 524 to 776 of the family's 1533-position model. The record is from RNAcentral.
UACAGAGGUGCCAAGCGUUAGGCGGAAUCACUGGGCUUAAAGCGCGUGUAGGCGGGUCGUUAAGUGUCCGAGUGAAAUCCCACGGCUCAACCGUGGAACUGCCGGGCAUACUGGCGAUCUUGAGGCAUUCAGGGGCGAACGGAACAAAUGGUGGAGCGGUGAAAUGCGUAGAUAUCAUUUGGAACGCCAAUGGUGAAAACAGCUCGCUGGGAAUGAUCUGACGCUGAGACGCGAAAGCCAGGGGAGCGAACGGA